This is an RNA transcript of Pipistrellus kuhlii (Kuhl's pipistrelle), 2364 nucleotides long. It is a transcript of the gene named TELO2 interacting protein 2, with no coding region annotated. The transcript has 8 exons. The record is from RefSeq and is a predicted model, not a curated record. Lineage: Eukaryota; Metazoa; Chordata; Mammalia; Chiroptera; Vespertilionidae.
GGUAGGACCGCAUCUCCGCUCAGGAGGUGCCGGGAGGGCUGCAGGUGUCGGCAAACGCGUUCGUGUUAAGCUUCAGGGUUUGUGUUUGUUUGUUUUUGAGUCUUCAGGAAGGAGAGAGUCAUUUCUCCACUUCACUUUGGGAGGCUGAGAUUCUGUCUCUGCCCCCGGAGAGGCCGCUUUCCCUUUCCUUUUCGCACACUUGACUCUUUGAUUAGACUCGCCCUCCAAGAUGUCUCGUCGUUUGCUUUGGUUUUAGUUCUGUUCUCUGGGAGAAUCCCAGUUUCCGGUGCCUCCUGAGCGGAUCCCCUCUCGUCUUCAUCUUCGUCCUCCCGGGAGCUCGGCCCCUCGCUUGCCGGGGUCAGGAAUGGAGCGUGAUGGCUCUCCGGAAUCUCCACCGCGGGAGGCCUCUUCCUUGCCCGGCGAGUGCCCUUCUUCUGACCUCGGACAGGCCUUGUCCCAGAUUCUGCACCAUCUUACCGGUCAGGAGUCCCGACGGGGCAAAGCCAGAAACGCAGCUCUGCAAGACCUCGGUGCUCUCCUAGAAGCCACGGAGUGUGAUCGGCUAUUUGAGGGGAGUGACGCCCCGCAGGGCGGAGUGCCUGGGGUGCUGGGGAAGGUGGCAGCUGCCCUGGAGAAGUUUGCAGCCCCACCCAAGGAGGAGGAAGGGAGAGGGGAUGGUUACGCUACCGUGGCCGAGAGGGCGACAGCAGUUGGGCUGCUGUUCAUGAAGCUGCUGAGGAAAGUGGAGUCUGCCAAGGAGCCCCAGGUUUGCCCUGCCUGGAAGAGAGGCCUGCGUCCCCUGGCAGCACCCAUCUACGUGUUUGCCAUCACACACAGUGUGCAGCAGCCAUGGACCAGGCCACGAUCUCGGGACGUGGCCAGAGAGGUGCUCACCUUACUGCUUCACGUUGCCGAGUGUGGUUCGGUGGCGGGAUUCCUCCACGGAGAAAAUGAAGAUGAGAAAGGGAGAUUUGCUGAGAUCAUGGGGCUUCUGCAGCCCGAUUUGAAUAAGGAAUCCUGGAAGAAUAACCCUGCCACCAAACAUGUUUUCUCCUGGACUCUGCAACAGGUCACUAGGCCCUGGCUGAACCAACAUCUGGAAAGGAUACUUCCCCCAUCAUUGCUCAUCUCAGAUGACUAUCAAACUGAGAACAAAGUCCUUGGUGUCCAUUGCCUCCAUCACAUUGUGCUUAAUGUGCCAGCUGCUGAUUUGCUCCAGUAUAAUAGGGCUCAGGUCCUAUACCAUGCCCUUUUCAACCAUCUGUACACCCCGGAGCACCACCUCAUUCAGGCUGUGCUGCUGUGUCUGCUGGACCUGUUCCCAGUCCUGGAGAAGGGCCUGCACUGGAAGGGAGGUGCAGCUCGACCCACCACACACUGUGAUGAGGUCCUGCAGCUGGUCCUGACCCACAUGGAGCCAGAGCACCGCGUCCUCUUACGCAGGACCUACGCAAGGAACCUCCCGGCUUUUGUGAAGAGGUUGGGGAUUCUGACCGUCCGGCACUUGAAGAGGCUAGAGCGAGUCAUCCUUGGUUAUCUGGAGGUUUACGAUGGGCCAGAGGAGGAGGCUAGAUUGAAGAUAUUGGAAACACUGAAACUUCUGAUGCAGUAUACUUGGCCCAGAGUUUCCUGUAGACUUGUGGUCUUAUUGAAGGCUCUCUUGAAACUGAUAUGUGAUGUAGCAAGGGAUUCAAGCCUUACACCUGAGCCUGUUAAGAGUGCUUUGUUAGAGGAGGCCACAGACUGCCUGCUGCUCCUGGACUGCUGCUCUCAAGGACAAGUGAAGGGUCUCCUGGCUAAAAUUCCCCAAAGCUGCGAAGACAGGAAGGUCGUGGAGUGUGUCAGAAAGGUGCAGCAGGCUUCUGAAGGCGCUCCCUACAGUGGAACUUAAAAACUUUUCCUAAAGAGAAGAGGCUUUUCUUGUUGUAUAAAUGGAAUUAUUUAAAGAAAAAGCAUCUGAAGAGUCACUCCCUGCCUCCUGCUGUUCCAGGGCCUUGUCGAAGGCAUGGAUGGGGAAGUUGUAGAUGUCGCCGUACUGGAGAACACACAGAUUGGUUUUAACUAUUAUAUAUGUGAAUCUCACACUUACAGUCCACCGUCCAACAAGCGUAUUUUUUCUUCAGUGAAAUGAGAAUAUUUAAUCUGAUGAGUAAUAUUUCUAUCUUGUUUUCAAGUCUAGAGUUGGCAGUGUCUUUAAAAAACCCAUUUUAACAUUUAAAUAAUCAGUGGUUAAUUCCAAACUGGUAACUUCUAUGAAGGAUGAAAGAAAAAUCACUUAAAACCGUAGUAGUUUAUAGAACACAGGGAGGACAAAUGUAAAAUUUUGCUGAUAAAGAGGAAUAAAGAAAAAAUUUUUUUUAUUCA